Molecule: long non-coding RNA, 995 nt
Filed under: Sinocyclocheilus anshuiensis
Lineage: Eukaryota; Metazoa; Chordata; Actinopteri; Cypriniformes; Cyprinidae
Description: lncRNA (ENSSANG00000009091.1)
Source: RNAcentral
UCACUCCCUGCAACAUUAGUAGCGUGUUUGCAAAAAUAUCUAUAUCAGAGAGACUGGUAGUUUUUUUUUUUUUUUUUUUUUUUUUAACUAGUGUUUUAACUACAUAAUGGAUAUUCAUGGUGAUAACUGGUUUGGUAGGAAGGAGAGUCGAACGAGUUGCUUCUCACGAAGCUCAAAACUGCAUCUUGGAAGCCACAAGUCUUCUAAUACUUUGGCGGUGGCGACCAGGGUGGCGUCUCUGAGGACUCAAUAUUCCAGACUGAGGAAACCCAAACCCAACGGGAGUGAGAAGAAGCCCCUCACGAUGAGGCAGCGGUGGCUCCUGAGGGCCCUCGGCUUCCUGAAGCCACACAUCGUUCAUCGGCAAAGCGAGAACCCUCUGGGUUCUGAUAAAGUGGAGGAAACUGCAGACGAGUCGGAUGAAAUGGAGACGGACAAAGAAGUGGACAGUUUCGACUCCAUCAGCGUGUGUCUCUCCCCGAUGCCCGGCACUCCAGACACCGGCAUCCCCGAGGAAACUGCCUCGUACUCGCUGUCUCCCCGGAGCACAUCCGGCAAACGCACGCGCUCCUCCGAAUCCGACAUCGAGCUGCAGAAGCUGGAGGUGUUGAAGCAGAUGUCCGCUAAAGUCCUGGAGCACCCGUCUCCGGACGCCGCCGCCGUCUUCUCCAGCCAAGUGGCGAUGGAGUACCGUCUGCUGAGAGACCCCAGCGUCCAGAUGCGCGUCCGCCGGCAGAUCAUGGCUCUCCUCUACGAGGCACAGGAUUCAGAGAAACGUUCCCGGCAGUCCAAGAGACACGAGCAGAGAGAACUCAAAACUGAGGACGACGUUACUUGGAUUAACACUAAUAUAUAAGCUGAAAAAUAGUGUUGUUCUUGUGUUUUCUACAUUGUACUGAACUAUUUUCCUAGUGGAAGCUUUGAGAUAAUCUACAUGUAAGAUAAUAAAACUGUCCAACUCUUCAUGUGUAUUUUUAUUUUUUUGUAGCUGUGAG